Molecule: long non-coding RNA, 1267 nt
Filed under: Anas platyrhynchos platyrhynchos (common mallard)
Lineage: Eukaryota; Metazoa; Chordata; Aves; Anseriformes; Anatidae
Description: lncRNA (ENSAPLG00000031007.1)
Source: RNAcentral
AGGUAUCCUGCACAACAGAAGGCUUAGAACAGAGCCCUUCCUCAGGGUAGAAAUCACCCAUUAUGGGGAGAGAUGCUGGGCAGCCUCCGUGUUCGGAGGCAGUGCUGGUGGCAGACAGCUGUGGUCCGUAAUUCUACAAAGGGUGGCUUGGUGUUAGCAAAAGCUCCAAGUGGCUUAAUCAUGCUUUGCUCCCCCAUCGUUAGCACAGGAACCACUGCCUCAGACUCUGCUGUCAUGGUAACAGGGUGACAGCUGCCAUUUUAGUUGUCGUUUGAGAUUUAGCCCAGGAACAUUUUGGAACUUAAAACCAGAAGUCUCUGCAUCUUGAGCUGAAAAGAAAGUGUCGGUAGGCAAGAGAGAAAUAGUUUUGUAUCCCUUCGGUAGACUGGGCAGCUGAGACAGCGUUCCCAAGAAUGGUUGUAGCCCCAGUCUAAGAGGAACAGCUACACAGUGGAGGAACAGCUACAACAUGGCAGUGCUCAUCCCCAUGCUUAUAAGCACUGUGUUAAGGGAAUCAGGAAGGCGAAGGCGAGGCAUGCACACUUAUUUCCACAAUUUCUAAGAGGAAGUAGUACAAGGAGAGGAGAACAAGGAGAAGUAGAAGGAAGAAGAUGAUUUGGAGAAGCACAUUUUGAACAUCAAAGCAGUGACUGUAACAAACUAAAAACAACAUUGAAGCACAGGAGGCCCAACACGUCAGUGGUAACCAUUUUGUUGUGGAUACAAAACACAGGGUUUUUGAAGUGGCAAUGGAAAGACCUUUGGAUGAAUGCUGUACAUUCCUGUUCCCUGUGGAGCCACUGGAAAUGAUGAGCGUCUUUUUAGGACUGAAUAGACCUAGACAGGCAUGGAGGCGUGGGACACUAGGGAUUAACUCAAAAGCCAAGAGGAGGUGUUGUCACUGUGGAAGAUCCAAAGAACCGAAAUCUACCAAUUAUUGCUUCAACUGCUUUUGUGCAAGACAUUUUACAGUUUCACUGACAGCGUGUGUGGCUGGCAGAUGUGACACAGCAUCCAUGGUCGCUUGGUGCCUGUCCGGAGCAGCCAGUACACAGGUUUGUGGAGCAAGCAGCUGUUCAUUUGUUUUGUCAGUAAUGGAAAGAAGACUUGAACAGCUGAUGACAGAACCAAGAAAGUGCAGAGGAAGAAGAGUAAACUGAGUCUGCUUAACACCUUUCACUAACACUGAACAUCAUGCUGUGUGGGUGACAGUCAAUGUAAAAGAAGAGCUUGAAAGCAGGUUUUAAUAAAUUCAGUUAUCACUUUC